CGGGGUUUGGCGCAGUUGGUAGCGCGCGCGCUUUGGGAGCGCGAGGUCAGCAGUUCGAGCCUGCUAACCCCGACCA
Molecule: transfer RNA, 76 nt
Filed under: [Clostridium] leptum
Lineage: Bacteria; Bacillati; Bacillota; Clostridia; Eubacteriales; Oscillospiraceae
Also listed under: 5 other names
Description: tRNA-Pro
Rfam family: tRNA
About the family: Transfer RNA (tRNA) molecules are approximately 80 nucleotides in length. Their secondary structure includes four short double-helical elements and three loops (D, anti-codon, and T loops). Further hydrogen bonds mediate the characteristic L-shaped molecular structure. tRNAs have two regions of fundamental functional importance: the anti-codon, which is responsible for specific mRNA codon recognition, and the 3' end, to which the tRNAs corresponding amino acid is attached (by aminoacyl-tRNA synthetases). tRNAs cope with the degeneracy of the genetic code in two manners: having more than one tRNA (with a specific anti-codon) for a particular amino acid; and 'wobble' base-pairing, i.e. permitting non-standard base-pairing at the 3rd anti-codon position.
Source: RNAcentral